AUAGUUUUACUCUGGUAUUUGUAGUUACUAACACACAAUAACCACGACAUUUACUAUGGGUUUACCAUAGUAACCAUAGUUUUACUCUGGUAUUUGUAUUUACUAACACACAAUAACCACAACACUUACCAGGAUUUUACCACAGUAACUGUGUUUUUACUCUACACUAUUUGUAAAGCACAGUAACCACUAAGUUUGCCAUGCCUUUAAUAUCUUUUUGUGAUGUAAUUGUAAUUCAGUGUUUUUUCUGUCUUGCAGUUACGUCGGAUUACAUACUCCACAACAACCUGUAAUCCAGCAGAUCUUUAAAGAAGCCAUCUCUUGUAAAAUCUCUCUCUCUCUCUCUCUCUCUCUCUCUCUCUCGCUCUGCUAGAAUUAACAGGGAACUUCAACUCCACGCUCCCAAUGCUGAUAUUGAAGAAGCUGUCAAGGGGGCUGAACAAGUCCUUCAAAGGAUCAACCCUUCACAGGAAGGCCUGUCAUGAGAUUUGAAUUUGACCAUCUUGUGCAUUUAUGAAGAAGACCAAAAGCUGCAAAGGCAAACACUUCCAAUGGCAGAAACUGAGAGUUUGCAUGAUGGCAUUUUCUCAGACGCUGAAUCUGAUGUGUACAGAUGAACUCAGGAGCCUACUAGAGUUGCCAAGGAACUUGUGCUUGAACUGAAGACCAGAAACGCAAAGAAAAUCAGUCAAACCAGUCCUAAAGAAAUGAGGAAUGAACAUGGACUUCUUGUGCCCCAAAAGAAAAGACAGAAAGCUCCUAAAAUGAGCAAAUAAGCUGUGCAUCAUCUCUGUGAUUUGGGAAGGAAAUGACUGAAUAUGAUGAAGCCAGUUGAUGAAGAUAUCAAUUGAAUGGCCACCGAGUGCAUCACUGCUACCUGAACCCAUCAGUUAUCUUCUGUGAAGACUGCAUUCACAAACCGCUCUACUGCGACAGCUCAGAUGUUACGGCCUGUAAAAGUAAACAUCACAGCUAAACAACGAGAGCUAGUUGUGGUGGGAUUCUUUUGGCCAAUAUCCUCAACAAGAAUCAAUGACAUCUAGACCAGGUGGAGUGUGAGGAGGACCGUCAGAGACUCCAGCCAGCCGAGCCAUGGAUUGCUCUCACUGUUACCAUCAGGCAUGCGUUAUCACAGAACCUACACCAGCAGACAGUGAGACAAGUUCCUUUCACAGGCAAUCAGACUGAACUGAACUCAUACCAGUAAAACCAUACACACCCCACCAACCUCAUAUGCCCUGCACUCUUAUCAGUUAUGCUGACUGGACUCAAUAUUGUUAUGCACCCUGACAUUCUGUUUGCACUAAUUCAUACCGUGCUUUACUGCAGAGAUGUAUGUGUACUGUGAUUAUUAUUGUUUUCAAUUCAUGCUCUUUGUAUAGCAUAAUUUUUAACAUAUAUUGUUCUCUACCUGAAUUGAGUCCCUUAUAUAUGUGUGUUGCAUAUAUAUAUAUUCAGAAUUUGUAUUUCAUAUAUAUUCAUGAAUUAAUUCAUUUGUCAUCCAUACUGUCACGCUGCAGUCUGCACCCAAGACUUUCAUCACCUGUAUACUUGUGUUCAUUGUAUUGUGACAAUAAAGAUAUUUGAUUUAAA
Long non-coding RNA from Carassius gibelio (silver crucian carp), 1593 nucleotides. RefSeq lists it as uncharacterized. Lineage: Eukaryota; Metazoa; Chordata; Actinopteri; Cypriniformes; Cyprinidae. The record is from RefSeq and is a predicted model, not a curated record. The transcript has 7 exons.